GAGUUUGAUCAUGGCUCAGGACGAACGCUGGCGGCACGCCUAACACAUGCAAGUCGAACGGAGAUAUUUUGGUUUACUGAGAUAUCUUAGUGGCGGACGGGUGAGUAACACGUGAGCAACCUGCCUCUGAGAGAGGGAUAGCUUCUGGAAACGGAUGGUAAUACCUCAUAACAUAACGAAGCCGCAUGACUUUGUUAUCAAAGAUUUAUCACUCAGAGAUGGGCUCGCGUCUGAUUAGAUAGUUGGUGAGGUAACGGCCCACCAAGUCGACGAUCAGUAGCCGGACUGAGAGGUUGAACGGCCACAUUGGGACUGAGACACGGCCCAGACUCCUACGGGAGGCAGCAGUGGGGAAUAUUGCACAAUGGGGGAAACCCUGAUGCAGCGAUGCCGCGUGGAGGAAGAAGGUUUUCGGAUUGUAAACUCCUGUCUUAAAGGACGAUAAUGACGGUACUUUAGGAGGAAGCUCCGGCUAACUACGUGCCAGCAGCCGCGGUAAUACGUAGGGAGCGAGCGUUGUCCGGAAUUACUGGGUGUAAAGGGAGCGUAGCGGGAUGGCAAGUCAGAUGUGAAAACUAUGGGCUCACCCAUAGACUGCAUUUGAAACUGUUGUUCUUGAGUGAAGUAKAGGWAAGCGGAWUYCCUGGUGUAKCGGKGA
RNAcentral lists this ribosomal RNA (658 nucleotides) under uncultured Bacillota bacterium. RNAcentral describes it as "bacterial SSU rRNA". Lineage: Bacteria; Bacillati; Bacillota. The record is from RNAcentral.